GAUUGAACGCUGGCGGCAGGCCUAACACAUGCAAGUCGAACGGUAGCACAGAGAGCUUGCUCUUGGGUGACGAGUGGCGGACGGGUGAGUAAUGUCUGGGAAACUGCCCGAUGGAGGGGGAUAACUACUGGAAACGGUAGCUAAUACCGCAUAACGUCUUCGGACCAAAGUGGGGGACCUUCGGGCCUCACACCAUCGGAUGUGCCCAGAUGGGAUUAGCUAGUAGGUGGGGUAAUGGCUCACCUAGGCGACGAUCCCUAGCUGGUCUGAGAGGAUGACCAGCCACACUGGAACUGAGACACGGUCCAGACUCCUACGGGAGGCAGCAGUGGGGAAUAUUGCACAAUGGGCGCAAGCCUGAUGCAGCCAUGCCGCGUGUAUGAAGAAGGCCUUCGGGUUGUAAAGUACUUUCAGCGGGGAGGAAGGCGAUGGAGUUAAUAGCUUCAUCGAUUGACGUUACCCGCAGAAGAAGCACCGGCUAACUCCGUGCCAGCAGCCGCGGUAAUACGGAGGGUGCAAGCGUUAAUCGGAAUUACUGGGCGUAAAGCGCACGCAGGCGGUCUGUCAAGUCGGAUGUGAAAUCCCCGGGCUUAACCUGGGAACUGCAUUCGAAACUGGCAGGCUAGAGUCUUGUAGAGGGGGUAGAAUUCCAGGUGUAGCGGUGAAAUGCGUAGAGAUCUGGAGGAAUACCGGUGGCGAAGGCGGCCCCCUGGACAAAGACUGACGCUCAGGUGCGAAAGCGUGGGGAGCAAACAGGAUUAGAUACCCUGGUAGUCCACGCCGUAAACGAUGUCGACUUGGAGGUUGUGCCCUUGAGGCGUGGCUUCCGGAGCUAACGCGUUAAGUCGACCGCCUGGGGAGUACGGCCGCAAGGUUAAAACUCAAAUGAAUUGACGGGGGCCCGCACAAGCGGUGGAGCAUGUGGUUUAAUUCGAUGCAACGCGAAGAACCUUACCUACUCUUGACAUCCAGCGAAUUCGGUAGAGAUACCUUAGUGCCUUCGGGAACGCUGAGACAGGUGCUGCAUGGCUGUCGUCAGCUCGUGUUGUGAAAUGUUGGGUUAAGUCCCGCAACGAGCGCAACCCUUAUCCUUUGUUGCCAGCGGUCCGGCCGGGAACUCAAAGGAGACUGCCAGUGAUAAACUGGAGGAAGGUGGGGAUGACGUCAAGUCAUCAUGGCCCUUACGAGUAGGGCUACACACGUGCUACAAUGGCGCAUACAAAGAGAAGCGACCUCGCGAGAGCAAGCGGACCUCAUAAAGUGCGUCGUAGUCCGGAUUGGAGUCUGCAACUCGACUCCAUGAAGUCGGAAUCGCUAGUAAUCGUAGAUCAGAAUGCUACGGUGAAUACGUUCCCGGGCCUUGUACACACC
RNAcentral lists this ribosomal RNA (1371 nucleotides) under uncultured bacterium. RNAcentral describes it as "bacterial SSU rRNA". It matches the Rfam family "Bacterial small subunit ribosomal RNA", at positions 27 to 1391 of the family's 1533-position model. The record is from RNAcentral.